This 3284-nucleotide ribosomal RNA is filed under the name Staphylococcus aureus. Its description in RNAcentral is "16S ribosomal RNA". The stretch from base 2 to 882 matches the Rfam family "Bacterial small subunit ribosomal RNA", at positions 9 to 873 of the family's 1533-position model. The record is from RNAcentral. Lineage: Bacteria; Bacillati; Bacillota; Bacilli; Caryophanales; Staphylococcaceae.
AGAGUUUGAUCCUGGCUCAGGAUGAACGCUGGCGGCGUGCCUAAUACAUGCAAGUCGAGCGAACGGACGAGAAGCUUGCUUCUCUGAUGUUAGCGGCGGACGGGUGAGUAACACGUGGAUAACCUACCUAUAAGACUGGGAUAACUUCGGGAAACCGGAGCUAAUACCGGAUAAUAUUUUGAACCGCAUGGUUCAAAAGUGAAAGACGGUCUUGCUGUCACUUAUAGAUGGAUCCGCGCUGCAUUAGCUAGUUGGUAAGGUAACGGCUUACCAAGGCAACGAUGCAUAGCCGACCUGAGAGGGUGAUCGGCCACACUGGAACUGAGACACGGUCCAGACUCCUACGGGAGGCAGCAGUAGGGAAUCUUCCGCAAUGGGCGAAAGCCUGACGGAGCAACGCCGCGUGAGUGAUGAAGGUCUUCGGAUCGUAAAACUCUGUUAUUAGGGAAGAACAUAUGUGUAAGUAACUGUGCACAUCUUGACGGUACCUAAUCAGAAAGCCACGGCUAACUACGUGCCAGCAGCCGCGGUAAUACGUAGGUGGCAAGCGUUAUCCGGAAUUAUUGGGCGUAAAGCGCGCGUAGGCGGUUUUUUAAGUCUGAUGUGAAAGCCCACGGCUCAACCGUGGAGGGUCAUUGGAAACUGGAAAACUUGAGUGCAGAAGAGGAAAGUGGAAUUCCAUGUGUAGCGGUGAAAUGCGCAGAGAUAUGGAGGAACACCAGUGGCGAAGGCGACUUUCUGGUCUGUAACUGACGCUGAUGUGCGAAAGCGUGGGGAUCAAACAGGAUUAGAUACCCUGGUAGUCCACGCCGUAAACGAUGAGUGCUAAGUGUUAGGGGGUUUCCGCCCCUUAGUGCUGCAGCUANAAAAAAGCUGAUUUCUAUUAAUUAUUUGAUAGAAAUCAGCUUUUUUGAUAUGUAUUUUAUAAUGUACAGCUCGUUGAGCUGCUAUUUUCCUUAUAUUAAGUGCCAUUAAUACAAAACCUAGCUCUCGUUUAACUUUAUUUAUUCCUCGAACUGACAUUCGAGUGAAACCCAAAAUAGCCUUCAUAAAUCCAAAAACAGGCUCUACAUCAAUUUUUCUUUGACUAUAGAUUUUUUUCGUUUCUGGUUCAGAAAGCUUUUGAUUAAUUUGGACUUUAAAGUAUUCCCAAUUAUAAUUCUUCAUGAUUUUCUUAUUGGAUUUUGAAUUUGGUUUCAUGCAUUGUUGCCUCAAAGAACAUGCUGAACAGUCAUCGCAUUCAUAUAGUUUGAAGUCUCGUUUAAAACCAUAUCUAUCAUUACGGUAUGCAUAUCUUUUAAAACCUAUUCUUUUGUUAUUAGGACAUAUAAAUUCAUCAUUAAGUUCGUCAUAUUUCCAAUUUUGAGUGUUGAAAAUGUCACUUUUAAACUUUCUAGUUUUAUCUUUAAUAAACAUGCCAUACGUAAUAAGUGGCGUUUUAUUAAAAUCAUCUAUAAUGGCCAUAUAGUUUUGCUCACUACCAUAACCUGCAUCAGCUACAAAUAACCGAAGGUAUUUUGAAUCAUUGUUAAAAAUGGAAUUAAAGUUCUAGUAUCUGUCGGGUUUUGAAAUAGGUCAUAGGAUAAAACAAAUUGAGAAUUUGUCGCUAUUUGUAAAUUGUAUCCUGGCUUAAGUUGGCCAUUUUUCAUAUGGUCUUCCUUCAUUCUCAUAAAAGUUGCAUCAUGAUCAGUUUUAGAAAAACUAUUUCUAUCUUUAAGAAUCGAUUUUUGUUCUUCAUAUUUAUUUUUUCUUUCGGAAUAAUCAUCAAAUUUCUUUUUGAACUUCUUAAUCUCAGUUCUUUUUUUACGGGUCUGUUUUCUAAUUUGAGCACAAUCUUCGUUCUCAAUAGAAUGAUUUAAAUCUUCGAUUUCUUUAUCUAAAUGACUACCAAUUAAAUCUAUUUCUUCUAUUGUUAAAUCGCUAUCUCCAUCUUCUUUUAUCUCUGGUAUUAUUUUUUCUUCAACUAAGUCACGAUAUAAUGNAUAGAAAUCAGCUUUUUUGAUAUGUAUUUUAUAAUGUACAGCUCGUUGAGCUGCUAUUUUCCUUAUAUUAAGUGCCAUUAAUACAAAACCUAGCUCUCGUUUAACUUUAUUUAUUCCUCGAACUGACAUUCGAGUGAAACCCAAAAUAGCCUUCAUAAAUCCAAAAACAGGCUCUACAUCAAUUUUUCUUUGACUAUAGAUUUUUUUCGUUUCUGGUUCAGAAAGCUUUUGAUUAAUUUGGACUUUAAAGUAUUCCCAAUUAUAAUUCUUCAUGAUUUUCUUAUUGGAUUUCGAAUUUGGUUUCAUGCAUUGAUGUCUCAAAGAACAUGAUGAACAGUCAUCACAUUCAUAUAGUUUGAAGUCUCGUUUAAAACCAUAUCUAUCAUUACGGUAUGCAUAUCUUUUAAAACCUAUUCUUUUGUUAUUAGGACAUAUAAAUUCAUUAUUAAGUUCGUCAUAUUUCCAAUUUUGAGUGUUGAAAAUGCCACUUUUAAACUUUCUAGUUUUAUCUUUAAUAAACAUGCCAUACGUAAUAAGUGGCGUUUUAUUAAAAUCAUCUAUAAUAGCCAUAUAGUUUUGCUCACUACCAUAACCUGCAUCAGCUACAAUAUACUCUGGUAAAUAACCGAAGGUAUUUUGAAUCAUUGUUAAAAAUGGGAUUAAUGUUCUAGUAUCUGUUGGGUUUUGAAAUAGGUCAUAGGAUAAAACAAAUUGAGAAUUUGUCGCUAUUUGUAAAUUGUAUCCUGGCUUAAGUUGGCCAUUUUUCAUAUGGUCUUCCUUCAUUCUCAUAAAAGUUGCAUCAUGAUCAGAUCAGUUUUAGAAAAACUAUUUCUAUCUUUAAGAAUCGAUUUUUGUUCUUCAUAUUUAUUUUUUCUUUCGGAAUAAUCAUCAAAUUUCUUUUUGAACUUCUUAAUCUCAGUUAUUUUUUUACGGGUCUGUUUUCUAAUUUGAGCACAAUCUUCGUUCUCAAUAGAAUGAUUUAAAUCUUCGAUUUCUUUAUCUAAAUGACUACCAAUUAAAUCUAUUUCUUCUAUUGUUAAAUCGCUAUCUCCAUCUUCUUUUAUCUCUGGUAUUAUUUUUUCUUCAACUAAGUCACGAUAUAAUGUUUUUGAAUUUUCGUUCAAUUUCGAUUCGUGAUUUUGAAUACUUUUCUUCCACACAAAUGUAUAUCUAUUGGCAUUAGCUUCUACUUUUGUACCAUCAAUAAAAAUUGAAUUAUUAUCAAUAAGAUUUUGCUUUAAACAUUGACUAUGGAACUGAAUAAAUAAAGAUUCAAUUAACGCAUCAGUAUUAGGAUUCACU